UGGCAAACGUCUAAUGACACAGAGCCACCAUUGCCAAUUUCACCACUGUCUUUCACCAAGUUGAUUCAUUUUGAACUGGCUCCAGCAAUCUACUCAGAGUUGACCUCAGAGCAAAAAAUUGAAGAAGCUGCUAAAGAAUGUGCUUGACUAAAACAAGGCAAUAAGCAAAAGGAAGUCAUAGCAUCCAGAAAAUGGGAUCCAUCAUGCGCACAAAGAAAAGGUGAAGAAAAUUUCCAGGAUGUUCAGAACCCACCAAAAACGAAAGAUUCUGGUCCAGAUCAGAAGAGAGGGAAACACUCUGAAAAAGUCCCUCAAAUACAAAAUUAAACAGAGUUUAAAUGAUGUGCUUGACCACAAUAAAAGGCUUCUUGCUCUGUAA
Molecule: long non-coding RNA, 379 nt
Organism: Homo sapiens (human)
Lineage: Eukaryota; Metazoa; Chordata; Mammalia; Primates; Hominidae
Exons: 2
Source: RefSeq, a predicted model, not a curated record